GAAGGAGGAGGCAAGCGUUAUCCGGAAUUAUUGGGCGUAAAGCGUCCGCAGGUGGCGAUUCAAGUCUGCUGUCAAAGGUCGGGGCUUAACCCCGGGAAGGCAGUGGAAACUGAAUAGCUAGAGUGCGGUAGGGGCAGAGGGAAUUCCCGGUGUAGCGGUGAAAUGCGUAGAGAUCGGGAAGAACACCAGUGGCGAAAGCGCACUGCUGGGCCUGCACUGACACUGAGGGACGUAAGCUAGGGGAGCGAAAGGG
This 253-nucleotide ribosomal RNA is filed under the name uncultured bacterium. RNAcentral describes it as "partial 16S ribosomal RNA". It matches the Rfam family "Bacterial small subunit ribosomal RNA", at positions 524 to 776 of the family's 1533-position model. The record is from RNAcentral.